RNAcentral lists this ribosomal RNA (240 nucleotides) under uncultured bacterium. Its description in RNAcentral is "partial 16S ribosomal RNA". It matches the Rfam family "Bacterial small subunit ribosomal RNA", at positions 92 to 334 of the family's 1533-position model. The record is from RNAcentral.
CGACCGGCGCACGGUGAGUAACGCGUAUGUAAUCUACCUGUAACAGAGGGAUAACCCGGAGAAAUCCGGACUAAUACCUCAUAGCACAUAUUAUUCGCAUGAAUUUUAUGUUAAAGAGACUCGGUUACAGAUGAACAUGCGUUCCAUUAGCUAGUUGGCGGGGUUACGGCCCACCAAGGCAACGAUGGACAGGGGUUCUGAGAGGAAGGUCCCCCACACUGGUACUGAGACACGGACCAG